GUUAUUGCGUCGAUCAAUGCAUUGAAAGUGACUACAUCGGGGCUUGUUUUUUGUUUUUCUCAGCUUUGAUCAAUUUGAUGAAGAGGAAAAUUAGCCACGGUGUAAUCACUUUCACUGCGUUAAUCAAUGCAUU
This 133-nucleotide microRNA precursor is filed under the name Eutrema salsugineum. Its description in RNAcentral is "MIR161 microRNA precursor family". It matches the Rfam family "MIR161 microRNA precursor family". Lineage: Eukaryota; Viridiplantae; Streptophyta; Magnoliopsida; Brassicales; Brassicaceae. The record is from Rfam by way of RNAcentral.